AACGCACAUUGCGCCCUCUGGUAUUCCGGAGGGCAUGCCUGUUCGAGCGUCAUUUCAACCCUCAAGCCUGGCUUGGUGAUGGGACACUGCCUUUGAGAAAAGGCAGGUCCUGAAAUUCAGUGGCGAGCUCGCCAGGACCCCGAGCGCAGUAGUUAAACCCUCGCUUUGGAAGGUCUUGGUGCGGCCCUGCCGUUAAACCCCCAACUUCUGAAAAUUUGACCUCGGAUCAGGUAGGAAUACCCGCUGAACUUAA
RNAcentral lists this unclassified non-coding RNA (253 nucleotides) under uncultured fungus. Its description in RNAcentral is "partial contains 5.8S ribosomal RNA, internal transcribed spacer 2, and large subunit ribosomal RNA". The stretch from base 1 to 52 matches the Rfam family "5.8S ribosomal RNA", at positions 103 to 154 of the family's 154-position model. Lineage: Eukaryota; Fungi. The record is from RNAcentral. RNAcentral also lists the same sequence under 1 other name.